UCCGGGAGCCAGGCUUACAGGCUCAGCGCUUGUGAGGAAGUCGGAAGUUGCCGCUUGCGCUGCACCUUGGGCUUGAUUGUGUGGGGAGCUGGGUCAGCUCGGUAGCCCCACCAUGGUGAGCGAGUGGUUGCUCUCCACAGAUGGGGAAGAAUGGUGGGCCAAGACGAGCGAGGGGCUGCAGUCCCCAGGCAGAGAGGAGUGGCCGGCCAUGAAUGCAGUGACCUAUGACGAUGUGCAUGUUGACUUCACUUGGGAAGAGUGGGCUUUGCUGGAUCCUUCCCAGAAGCGUCUCUACAAAGAUGUGAUGUUGGAGACCUACGGGAACCUCACUGCUAUAGGUUACAAAUGGAAAGAUCAUCAUAUUGAAGAACAUUGUGAAAGUUCUAGAAGACAUGGAAGGCAUGAAAGAAGUCAUACUGGAGAGAAACCAUCUGAAUAUGCUCAAAGUGUUAAUUCCUAUGCAUAUCAUAGUCAUCUUCAAAGGCAUGAAAGAAUCCAUACUCGAGAGAAACCCUAUGGAUGUAAUCAAUGUGGUAAAACCUUUUCACAACACUGGUAUCUCCAAAUACAUAAAAGAGCACAUACUGGAGAGAAACCCUAUGAAUGUAAUCAGUGUGGGAAAGCCUUUGCAUGCAACAGUAGUCUCCAAAAACAUAAAAGAACACAUACUGGAGAGAAACCCUAUGAAUGUAAUCAAUGUGGUAAAGCCUUUGUAUGUCACAAUUAUCUCCAAAUCCAUAAAAGAAAACAUACUGGAGAGAAACCCUAUGAAUGUAACCAAUGUGGUAAAGCCUUUACACGUCACUCUAUUCUCCAAAUCCAUAAAAGAACACAUACUGGAGAGAAACCCUAUGAAUGUAACCAAUGUGGGAAAGCCUUUGCAUAUCACAAUUAUCUACAAAUCCAUAAAAGAACACAUACUGGCGAGAAACCUUAUGAAUGUAAUCAAUGUGGGAAAGCCUUUCCAGGUCCCAGUCAUCUUCAAAUGCAUGAAAAAACACAUACUGGUGAGAAACCCUAUGGAUGUAAUCAAUGUGGGAAAGCCUUUGCAUCAAACAGUAGUCUCCAAAUCCAUAAAAGAACACAUACUGGUGAGAAACCCUAUGAAUGCAAUCAAUGUGGUAAAGCCUUUGCACGUCAUAGUUAUCUCCAAAUCCAUAAAAGAACACAUACUGGUGAAAAACCCUAUGAGUGUAAUCAAUGUGGUAAAGCCUUUGCAUGUACUGUUACUCUCCGAAAACAUAAAAGAACACAUACUGGAGAGAAACCCUAUGAAUGUAAUCAGUGUGGUAAAGCCUUUGCACAGCAAAGUCAUCUUCAAAGACAUAAAAGCACACAUACUGGAGAGAAACCCUAUGAAUGUAAUCAGUGUGGUAUAGCCUUUUCACAACCCGCAUAUCUUCAAAUACAUAAAAGAACACAUACUGGCGAGAAACCCUAUGAAUGUAAUCAAUGUGGAAAAGCCUUUGCAUGUCACAGGAGUCUCCAAAUCCAUCAAAGAACACAUACUGUCAUCUUCAGAUGUUUAAGAUCCACAGUAUGCUCUGCCCAAAGUGAGAUUCACACACUUCAUUUAAUCAACACAAAAGGAAGAGAUGACCUUGUCCAUGUUUGAGGAACAGCAGGUGUCAAUUGACUUCAGAGUGUCAGCACACCAGGAGGAAAGUCUCUGAUGGGUGAAUUUUGGUGGAGCCUGUGUCUCUGGGAGUCCCUCUUCCUCCAAUCGGUGCAGGUGGGGCCUGUGGGUCCAGUGGUUGCUCUUCCAGUUGGUGAAGGUGGGGCCUAUUUUCCAGUGGUCACUGAUGCCAUGGGAGAAGGUUGCUGAGGGGGUGGGGAAGGAUGCUGCUGCUUGGUCUUUGGGGCUGGAAUUGGUGGAGGAGGGGCACAGUCCAGCCAGCAACUCAGGGACUCACAGCUUCUCAGUCAUCUCUGGUGCCACAGGGGAUCUCUACUGGGCAUUUUAACCUGUGGAUUAUUAUGAAGAUGAUUCCUUUCCUAAGCUCUACUAUCUAAUUGAUAAUAAUAUUAGUUUAUUCAGUUUUGAUGAAUAAAAAUAGAUACAAGGAAAUAUAACACAGCUAGGGCUUAUGAGUUUCCCCUAAGGAGCUAUAUAGAUCACAGUUUAGGUUAAUGACUAAGGAAAACAAUUGAGCCCCCAGGAGCCAGGCAGACUGUAAUUCUUUUAAUGCUGAAUAAUGCAGUCACAGGUUGCUGGGUGCAUCAUAAGGCUGAAAUAAUGCCUUAAAAUAACUUCAGGUUAGCUCCGAUGUUUUGAUAAUAACUUUGAGAUGACAGACUUCAGAAAACAAUCAAAAAUUCACAAGAACACAUAGCUGAGUUAUAGAUUCAUUAGUUUAGGGUCAAAAAUACAAAGCAGCCCAAUUGUUACUAGCUGACAUACUUUUCUUGCUAGGUUUGGUUGGUGAUCAAAGGUGAUAAUUACUUCUUUGUUCCCCCAUUUUCCCUUAUUUGCCUGAUAUAAGAAACUAUUGAUGAGUGGGUAUGCAUGACAAAGAUUCAAAGUAGAGCUGACUGAUUCUUUUUCAUAUA
Molecule: RNA transcript, 2550 nt
Organism: Peromyscus leucopus (white-footed mouse)
Lineage: Eukaryota; Metazoa; Chordata; Mammalia; Rodentia; Cricetidae
Gene name: zinc finger protein 431-like
Exons: 6
Source: RefSeq, a predicted model, not a curated record